Molecule: non-coding RNA, 45 nt
Filed under: Methylophaga thiooxydans
Lineage: Bacteria; Pseudomonadati; Pseudomonadota; Gammaproteobacteria; Thiotrichales; Piscirickettsiaceae
Also listed under: 1 other name
Description: Guanidine-II sequence
Rfam family: Guanidine-II riboswitch aptamer (mini-ykkC)
About the family: Simpler in structure and has fewer highly conserved nucleotide positions than the ykkC-yxkD leader. Despite this each of its two stem-loop structures directly bind free guanidine. Therefore, mini-ykkC RNA motif represents a distinct class of guanidine-sensing RNAs.
Source: RNAcentral
AAGUGAGGACGACCUCACCGCUCGAGAAUCACCGGGGACGACCCC